UGCUGAAUUCAGGGAAAUCCUGAAUUUAUAAUUAUUUUCAUUUAUAAAAUUAACAUGAAUCGAUUUGCCAAAUAGUGCAUUUAGGAGAGCAGCAGUAUGCAUACAGUGACAGUUGUGAAAUAACUAUUUUCCAAGUGUUUCUUUUAUAAACUUUUGUAAGCUUCUGACAAGCAUAGACUGGUUCUGGUGCCGCAACAAACUUUCUACAUAAAUUAUUCAUAGACAAGUAAGCCACUCAAACCGCCUACCAACGAUAAUUAUGUAAUCGAUGUUAAUUCUUCCAUAACAUUAAAUAAAUUCGAUGAUCUCCGAGUACGCGCGUGAGUAAUAUUAAUCCGUGAAUUGUGUUUUCGCGCCGGAAUCCAAUCGCGCCAAGAAAUUUCUUCCUUUCCUUUCGUCUGCUUGUAGCCAUUGAUCACCCACCGCCGUUUCGAUCAUCAGCUGAUGACCUGAAAGUAGUGAUACCGCCGAAAACGUGAUGCGUCGAAAAUAUGAUGUCGUGUGCUACUGAAUGUUAGAUUAGAAACAUACAAGCUUUACGUAAAAUUGAUCGAUUGGUCAUGGCAAUAUCUAUGAGUACAGCCACAACAACCUAGGAUGACCACUAGUUGUUGGGAACAUGUAAAAAUUAAGAAAACUUAAAAACAAGGAUAUUAAAAACUACUCCUCCACACCCACGUGGACAAAGACUGCAGUCAAAUCUAACAGCAGAAUAGUUAGCAUCUUGCACAGGAUGACGAUGAUGAUGUUGAACAUUUCUGGAAUACGUUAUCGAUGAUUUCACUGUAAAACACAUGUAAGGAAGUAGCAAUCAUAAUUGACUAUCGAUGCCCGGUGUGAUCACGUAUGCGGCAUCCCCUGAAGGUGGAUUGGAAACCGUCUGCACUGCACCUCGAUCGAAUAGGAAGUUUCCUCUGUCCGCUUGGAGCCGCUUGUGAAAUCGUUCGAAUUAUUGCUAGCUGCAACCGCAUUUGU
This is a long non-coding RNA of Malaya genurostris, 975 nucleotides long. RefSeq lists it as uncharacterized. The record is from RefSeq and is a predicted model, not a curated record. NCBI's taxonomy places the organism in Eukaryota, Metazoa, Arthropoda, Insecta, Diptera, Culicidae. The transcript has 4 exons.